UACGUAGGGGGCAAGCGUUGUCCGGAGUUACUGGGCGUAAAGCGCACGCAGGCGGUCUCUUAAGUUUGGAGUGACAGUUGGUGGCUUAACUGCCAAAGUGCUUCGAAAACUGAGAGACUUGAGGGCUUCAGAGGGACACGGAAUUCCGGGUGGAGUGGUGAAAUGCGUAGAGAUCCGGAGGAACACCGAAGGCGAAGGCAGUGUCCUGGGGAGUACCUGACGCUCAGGUGCGAAAGCCAGGGAGCGAACGGG
RNAcentral lists this ribosomal RNA (252 nucleotides) under uncultured bacterium. Its description in RNAcentral is "partial 16S ribosomal RNA". It matches the Rfam family "Bacterial small subunit ribosomal RNA", at positions 524 to 776 of the family's 1533-position model. The record is from RNAcentral.